RNAcentral lists this long non-coding RNA (241 nucleotides) under Elaeis guineensis (African oil palm). RNAcentral's name for it is "long non-coding RNA (EGUI_LNC005030)". The record is from RNAcentral. Lineage: Eukaryota; Viridiplantae; Streptophyta; Magnoliopsida; Arecales; Arecaceae.
GGGAGAGCCAAGUACCACGAGGCUCACCCACUCCUUGGAGACAUCUGGAGGGCACUUGGUCAGUACACUGUGACAUCUACUCAGUAUGUGUUCUAGAAGGCCAACAGUGCAGUAGACUAGGUGGCUUCUUUCGUUGCUGACCAUUCCAGCGAUUGGAGUUGGUGUCCUGGUGAUGUUUGCCUUUGGGGUUGGAGGAUGUAUUCUUUUUUGACUUCUUGAACUGUACUCACACCAGAGCUAU